Molecule: ribosomal RNA, 274 nt
Filed under: uncultured bacterium
Lineage: Bacteria
Description: partial 16S ribosomal RNA
Rfam family: Bacterial small subunit ribosomal RNA
Source: RNAcentral
AUACGGAGGGAGCGAGCGUUAAUCGGAAUUACUGGGCGUAAAGCGCGCGUAGGCGGCUUUGUAAGUCGGAUGUGAAAGCCCAGGGCUCAACCCUGGAAUUGCAUUCGAUACUGCACGGCUAGAGUAUGGUAGAGGGAAGUGGAAUUCCAGGUGUAGCGGUGAAAUGCAUAGAUAUCUGGAGGAACAUCAGUGGCGAAGGCGGCUUUCUGGAUCAAUACUGACGCUGAGGUGCGAAAGCGUGGGGAGCAAACAGGAUUAGAAACCCCUGUAGUCC